RNAcentral lists this ribosomal RNA (393 nucleotides) under uncultured bacterium. RNAcentral describes it as "partial 16S ribosomal RNA". It matches the Rfam family "Bacterial small subunit ribosomal RNA", at positions 523 to 918 of the family's 1533-position model. The record is from RNAcentral.
AUACGGAGGAUGCGAGCGUUAUCCGGAUUUAUUGGGUUUAAAGGGUGCGCAGGCGGGCGAUUAAGUCAGCGGUGAAAGGCUCGGACUCAACCGGAGCAGUGCCGUUGAUACUGGUUGUCUUGAAUGCGGUCAAGGCCGGCGGAAUGUGGCGUGUAGCGGUGAAAUGCUUAGAUAUCACUCAGAACACCGAUUGCGAAGGCAUCUGACGAAUCCGUCACUGACGCUGAGGCACGAAAGCGUGGGGAUAGAACAGGAUUAGAUACCCUGGUAUUCCACGCCGUAAACGAUGAUGACUAACCGUCGGCGAUAGACAGCCGGUGGCCAAGCGAAAGCGAUAAGUCAUCCACCUGGGGAGUACGUCGGCAACGAUGAAACUCAAAUGAAUUGGCGGGG